Molecule: ribosomal RNA, 207 nt
Filed under: Staphylococcus aureus
Lineage: Bacteria; Bacillati; Bacillota; Bacilli; Caryophanales; Staphylococcaceae
Description: partial 23S ribosomal RNA
Rfam family: Bacterial large subunit ribosomal RNA
Source: RNAcentral
CGUAACCUCGGGAGAAGGGGUGCUAUUUAGGCUUAACGCCAAGAAUAGGCGCAGUGAAUAUGCCCAAGCGACUGUUGAUCAAAUGCACCGGUCUCUUCUAACCCGUUAGGUGAAGUAUAGGGGCUGACGCAUGCACGGGGCUGGAAGCUUAAGAGGAGGGGGUAGAUUCUGCGAAGCUUCGAAUCGAAGCCCAAGAAAACGGCGGCC